GGGUUGUGAGGUUAAGCGACUAAGCGUACACGGUGGAUGCCCUGGCAGUCAGAGGCGAUGAAGGACGUGCUAAUCUGCGAUAAGCGCCGGUAAGGUGAUAUGAACCGUUAUAACCGGCGAUUUCCGAAUGGGGAAACCCAGUGUGACUCGUCACACUAUCAUUAACUGAAUCCAUAGGUUAAUGAGGCGAACCGGGGGAACUGAAACAUCUAAGUACCCCGAGGAAAAGAAAUCAACCGAGAUUCCCCCAGUAGCGGCGAGCGAACGGGGAGGAGCCCAGAGCCUGAAUCAGCAUGUGUGUUAGUGGAAGCGUCUGGAAAGGCGCGCGAUACAGGGUGACAGCCCCGUACACAAAAGCGCAUGUGCUGUGAGCUCGAUGAGUAGGGCGGGACACGUGGUAUCCUGUCUGAAUAUGGGGGGACCAUCCUCCAAGGCUAAAUACUCCUGACUGACCGAUAGUGAACCAGUACCGUGAGGGAAAGGCGAAAAGAACCCCGGCGAGGGGAGUGAAAAAGAACCUGAAACCGUGUACGUACAAGCAGUGGGAGCACCCUUUGGGGUGUGACUGCGUACCUUUUGUAUAAUGGGUCAGCGACUUAUAUUCUGUAGCAAGGUUAACCGAAUAGGGGAGCCGGAGGGAAACCGAGUCUUAAUUGGGCGUUAAGUUGCAGGGUAUAGACCCGAAACCCGGUGAUCUAGCCAUGGGCAGGUUGAAGGUUGGGUAACACUAACUGGAGGACCGAACCGACUAAUGUUGAAAAAUUAGCGGAUGACCUGUGGCUGGGGGUGAAAGGCCAAUCAAACCGGGAGAUAGCUGGUUCUCCCCGAAAGCU
RNAcentral lists this ribosomal RNA (833 nucleotides) under Salmonella enterica subsp. enterica serovar Javiana. RNAcentral's name for it is "partial 23S ribosomal RNA". It matches the Rfam family "Bacterial large subunit ribosomal RNA", at positions 1 to 867 of the family's 2925-position model. The record is from RNAcentral. Lineage: Bacteria; Pseudomonadati; Pseudomonadota; Gammaproteobacteria; Enterobacterales; Enterobacteriaceae.